CUUACACAUGCAGUCGAACGAUGAAGCCCUUCGGGGUGGAUUAGUGGCGAACGGGUGAGUAACACGUGGGCAAUCUGCCCUGCACUCUGGGACAAGCCCUGGAAACGGGGUCUAAUACCGGAUAUGACCGUCCAUCGCAUGGUGGAUGGUGUAAAGCUCCGGCGGUGCAGGAUGAGCCCGCGGCCUAUCAGCUAGUUGGUGAGGUAGUGGCUCACCAAGGCGACGACGGGUAGCCGGCCUGAGAGGGCGACCGGCCACACUGGGACUGAGACACGGCCCAGACUCCUACGGGAGGCAGCAGUGGGGAAUAUUGCACAAUGGGCGAAAGCCUGAUGCAGCGACGCCGCGUGAGGGAUGACGGCCUUCGGGUUGUAAACCUCUUUCAGCAGGGAAGAAGCGAAAGUGACGGUACCUGCAGAAGAAGCGCCGGCUAACUACGUGCCAGCAGCCGCGGUAAUACGUAGGGCGCAAGCGUUGUCCGGAAUUAUUGGGCGUAAAGAGCUCGUAGGCGGCUUGUCACGUCGGUUGUGAAAGCCCGGGGCUUAACCCCGGGUCUGCAGUCGAUACGGGCAGGCUAGAGUUCGGUAGGGGAGAUCGGAAUUCCUGGUGUAGCGGUGAAAUGCGCAGAUAUCAGGAGGAACACCGGUGGCGAAGGCGGAUCUCUGGGCCGAUACUGACGCUGAGGAGCGAAAGCGUGGGGAGCGAACAGGAUUAGAUACCCUGGUAGUCCACGCCGUAAACGGUGGGCAC
Molecule: ribosomal RNA, 750 nt
Filed under: Streptomyces sp. V103-1
Lineage: Bacteria; Bacillati; Actinomycetota; Actinomycetes; Kitasatosporales; Streptomycetaceae
Description: bacterial SSU rRNA
Rfam family: Bacterial small subunit ribosomal RNA
Source: RNAcentral